CACCUCCUCUCUUCAUCCUCAUCCGAUCCCCUUCUCCCAUCUCCGCCUGAUCCUUGCCUCGCGAGCGCCUUCUUCUUCCCUAACUCAUCACCGACGUAGAUGUCGAUCAUCGGCACUGAUCGCCGACUGUCGACCUACCCUAACAUUGGCACAGCUCCAUCAUCCUCGACCUUGAGUUAUGCCCUAGCUUUGAUCAAUGUCGUUGAGCCCUAACCUCUCGGUCUGCUCCCGAUCCAUAGCCAUCGGUGGUCGAGCACUACCCGAGCGUCGUUGCUUCUCCAUUUAUUUCUCUCUCGAUCUCACGACGCUGCCCAAUCGUCGUCUGGCUUGUCACACAGCACCUAUUGACCGAUGCCACCGACGCCUCUGUUGUUGCACGUUGCUGGUGGGGCAAAGGUCCGUCGAUCUUCUUCCUCCGGCCGAUUGCCACCUACCUCUACAAUCGAUCACUGCCGAUUUGCCUUGUGCACUAGUUGCCAUCAUCGGAGAGCUUCUGUUCCAAUAUAAGUUUCCUAGCCCGAUCGAGACUGAAGAGUGUCAUCGACAGCAGAUGGCCUUCAGGAUCUCAUUGUGAGUAGAUUGUUGACCUCUCCUGCUCACUGCCAUUGUCGUUGAGCUCGGUUGCCAAGGAUUCAUUGUAGGGAAGGGGGUGAUUGAAGAAGGUUUUGGUGUCAAUGGAUUUAAGCUCCUACUGAGAUAUUGGCAGUCGAUCUUUAUUCAUACAUCAGUGUAGCAGGUAAAGGAUUUUUGGAGUCGCCUGGAUAUCCUGUCCGCCGGCCCCAUGUCACAUCGAGCGACUUCUAUCGUUAUUUCUUCCACUCGCAUUAAUAGUUUUGUACUUGUAUUUGUAUUAUGUACCUUCUAUAUGGUUUUCCAGACUUGUGAUGCCCUUUAUUUCAGUUAUGAACUUCUUGUGUUAAGUCGAGUCGGCUCGCAGGUAAUUGUAUUAUUUUUAUGUUUUGCUUA
Molecule: long non-coding RNA, 966 nt
Organism: Zingiber officinale
Lineage: Eukaryota; Viridiplantae; Streptophyta; Magnoliopsida; Zingiberales; Zingiberaceae
Exons: 4
Source: RefSeq, a predicted model, not a curated record